CUUGUCCCUAGAAGCAGUGCACAUGGGGCUGCUAUGUCACAUGUGUGUCAGGAGGUGGCAGAGAGGAAAGAAGCUAUGUCUAUGCUGUGUUCUGACCUAAGAACAUCUGAAUGAUUAAUAGUCUAAUGUU
Molecule: small nucleolar RNA, 130 nt
Organism: Acomys russatus (golden spiny mouse)
Lineage: Eukaryota; Metazoa; Chordata; Mammalia; Rodentia; Muridae
Product: small nucleolar RNA SNORA17
Exons: 1
Source: RefSeq, a predicted model, not a curated record